GGGGUCAUUAGCAUAUUAGUAAUGCGUCUAUCUGUCACAUAGGAGAAGCGGGUGCAAUUCCCGCCUGACUCCUCCA
This 76-nucleotide transfer RNA is filed under the name Caldilineaceae bacterium. RNAcentral describes it as "tRNA-Asp". It matches the Rfam family "tRNA". From Rfam's summary of the family: Transfer RNA (tRNA) molecules are approximately 80 nucleotides in length. Their secondary structure includes four short double-helical elements and three loops (D, anti-codon, and T loops). The record is from RNAcentral. Lineage: Bacteria; Bacillati; Chloroflexota; Caldilineae; Caldilineales; Caldilineaceae.